GACGAACGCUGGCGGCGUGCUUAACACAUGCAAGUCGAACGCAAAUUCCUUGCUUGUGGCUUGUUCUCCAGUGGCAAACUGGUGAGUAACCCGGUGGUAACCUCCCCUUUACUCUGGGAUACCGUCAGGGAACUGAGUCGGAUACCGGAUAUGAUCUCCUGCAGCUUGGUUUACCGUGGAGAGUUUCGGUGGUUGGGGCUGUUCUCUCGGUUUUUCAGCUACCUGGUGUGGUUGUGCCAUACCAAGGCGUUGAUGCAUAGCCGGCCUGAGAUGGUGAUCGGCGACACUGGGACUGAGACAGGGCCCAGACUCGUACGGGAGGCAGAAGUAGGGAAUCUUCGGCAAUGGACGCAAGUCUGACCGAGCAACGCCGCGUGAGUGAAGAAGGUGUUCGGAUCGUAAAACUCUGUUGUUAGAGAAGAACAAGGAUGAGAGUGGAAAGUUCAUCCCUUGACGGUAUCUAACCAGAAAGCCACGGCUAACUACGUG
This 489-nucleotide ribosomal RNA is filed under the name uncultured bacterium. RNAcentral's name for it is "partial 16S ribosomal RNA". It matches the Rfam family "Bacterial small subunit ribosomal RNA", at positions 28 to 507 of the family's 1533-position model. The record is from RNAcentral.